CUCGAGUGGCGAACGGGUGAGUAACACGUGAGUAACCUGCCCUUGACUUUGGGAUAACUUCAGGAAACUGGGGCUAAUACCGGAUAGGAGCUCCUGCUGCAUGGUGGGGGUUGGAAAGUUUCGGCGGUUGGGGAUGGACUCGCGGCUUAUCAGCUUGUUGGUGGGGUAGUGGCUUACCAAGGCUUUGACGGGUAGCCGGCCUGAGAGGGUGGCCGGCCACAUUGGGACUGAGAUACGGCCCAG
Molecule: ribosomal RNA, 243 nt
Filed under: uncultured Actinomycetales bacterium
Lineage: Bacteria; Bacillati; Actinomycetota; Actinomycetes; Actinomycetales
Description: partial 16S ribosomal RNA
Rfam family: Bacterial small subunit ribosomal RNA
Source: RNAcentral